CCGGCAGAGGCGACGCUGGUGACGGCGGUCAGCACGGAGUGAGCAGGAAAGCGAGGCCAUUUGAGCAGCCAUACCAAGAGUCCUGAGGAAUGUCACGAGUAACCGAUGCAACAGAGGAAUCAAGAUGCUCUCAGACCAUAACAGGGACGAGGAGCCGCCAGGGGAGCUCUCCGAACACCAGGUGAAGGAGCAACUCGGGGAGGUGCGGCACCAAACUGUCCUUCACUGGAAUCAUAGAGGACUAAGGUCUCAUCUGGAGAGAAUUUUAGAGGAAGGGUCGCAUAUUCGUCAUGUUGUUCAGCUGACGCGCAGUCUUGUAACCUGCUGAGUACUGAAGAAGUGAAAAGCAGAUCCAGCACAAGCGGAAAUAUUCAUUACACUUGCAUACGAUAUCCCGAAUAUAAUCCCCGGCAAAAGUAAACGACAACACAAGACAAAUACAAGCUUUUGACACCUCCAUCUCUGCAGUGUGAACUUUUUAAAGAUUCCAUUUCCCGAGAACUUGGGAUCUCUUGCAUAACUGACUUACUGUUAUCUCCAUGGGAACUGUUGAGAGCAUUACUGGACUCAGUUGGUACAGAUUUUUUCAUAGGCGAUGUUACGUACUUACAAGUCUUGGAUGUCAGCAGCACUAAGAUCACAGGGGGGCCCCAGUCAUUAGCCAAGCUUACAUUGUAAUGGUCUCCGGUGGCAGUUAACAAUAAAAUAAAGAGUUUCUGUAAAGACUUACGUCGACUUCGAAACCUCUAAGUGCCAAUGCAGAGUGGCAACAACGUAACUCGUUUUGGGGAGGACUUCACGGCCUCUACGUAGACCACAAUUAGCAGAAGGAGUUGCCACAUUCAUCGCCACUCUGCCGAUGCUCAGCUGUGUCUCUUGCUGUUUAAUUCUCCGACUCAUCUUAGAGCUCUCUCCUGUAAGGCUCUCUGUGUGUUUUUUUGUUAGGUGUCAUUAGAUUGCUGUUAUUGCUGAUAGUAUUUUUAGGUUUUUAUUAUUUGUGAUACUUUUUAAAUUUGUUUUUGUUGUUUUUGUUGUUGUUAGUAGUGUUGUUAUUAUUAUAUUUAUUUUAGUUAUUAUUGAUAGUAGUAGUAU
Long non-coding RNA from Penaeus chinensis, 1092 nucleotides. RefSeq lists it as uncharacterized. The record is from RefSeq and is a predicted model, not a curated record. The transcript has 7 exons. Lineage: Eukaryota; Metazoa; Arthropoda; Malacostraca; Decapoda; Penaeidae.